GGGUGAGUAACACGUGGGUAACCUACCUAUAAGACUGGGAUAACUUCGGGAAACCGGAGCUAAUACCGGAUAAUAUAUUGAACCGCAUGGUUCAAUAGUGAAAGACGGUUUUGCUGUCACUUAUUAGAUGGAUCCGCGCCGCAUUAGCUAGUUGGUAAGGUAACAGCUUACCAAGGCAACGAUGCGUAGCCGACCUGAGAGGGUGAUCGGCCACACUGGAACUGAGACACGGUCCAG
RNAcentral lists this ribosomal RNA (237 nucleotides) under uncultured Staphylococcus sp. Its description in RNAcentral is "partial 16S ribosomal RNA". It matches the Rfam family "Bacterial small subunit ribosomal RNA", at positions 104 to 334 of the family's 1533-position model. The record is from RNAcentral. Lineage: Bacteria; Bacillati; Bacillota; Bacilli; Caryophanales; Staphylococcaceae.